GACGAACGCUGGCGGCGUGCCUAAUACAUGCAAGUAGGACGCAGUUGCGAACGGGUGAGUAACGCGUAGGUAACUGCCUAUUAGAGGAGGAUAACUAUUGGAAACGAUAGCUAAUACCGCAUACUAGUAGAUGGACCUGCGUUGUAUUAGCUAGUAGGUAGGGUAAUGGGCUACCUAGGCGACGAUACAUAGCCGACGUGAGAGGGGGAUCGGCCACAAUGGGAAUGAGACACGGCCCAGACUCCUACGGGAGGCAGCAGUAGGGAAUCUUCGGCAAUGGGGGGAACCCUGACCGAGCAACGCCGCGUGAGUGAAGAAGGUUUUCGGAUCGUAAAGCUCUGUUGUUAAGGAAGCGGUACUUAACCAGAAAGGGACGGCUAACUACGUGCCAGCCGCCGCGGUAAUUC
Molecule: ribosomal RNA, 407 nt
Filed under: uncultured bacterium
Lineage: Bacteria
Description: partial 16S ribosomal RNA
Rfam family: Bacterial small subunit ribosomal RNA
Source: RNAcentral